GAUGAACGCUAGCUACAGGCUUAACACAUGCAAGUCGAGGGGCAGCAUGGUCUUAGCUUGCUAAGGCCGAUGGCGACCGGCGCACGGGUGAGUAACGCGUAUCCAACCUGCCUUACACUCUUGGACAGCCUUCUGAAAGGGAGAUUAAUACAAGAUGUUAUCAUGAGUAAGCAUUUUCGCAUGAUUAAAGGUUUACCGGUGUAAGAUGGGGAUGCGUUCCAUUAGAUAGUAGGCGGGGUAACGGCCCACCUAGUCUUCGAUGGAUAGGGGUUCUGAGAGGAAGGUCCCCCACAUUGGAACUGAGACACGGUCCAAACUCCUACGGGAGGCAGCAGUGAGGAAUAUUGGUCAAUGGACGAGAGUCUGAACCAGCCAAGUAGCGUGAAGGAUGAAGGUUCUAUGGAUUGUAAACUUCUUUUAUACGGGAAUAAACGGAUCCACGUGUGGAUUUUUGCAUGUACCGUAUGAAUAAGGAUCGGCUAACUCCGUG
This 490-nucleotide ribosomal RNA is filed under the name uncultured organism. RNAcentral's name for it is "bacterial SSU rRNA". It matches the Rfam family "Bacterial small subunit ribosomal RNA", at positions 28 to 507 of the family's 1533-position model. The record is from RNAcentral.